Molecule: long non-coding RNA, 1714 nt
Organism: Papaver somniferum (opium poppy)
Lineage: Eukaryota; Viridiplantae; Streptophyta; Magnoliopsida; Ranunculales; Papaveraceae
Exons: 8
Source: RefSeq, a predicted model, not a curated record
UGACUUUAGACGAUCGUGAUUUUUUUUAUUAUACUUAUAUCGAAGAGAUAAGAUUUUCUUCUCCCUCUUUCUUCUUCUUCCUUUCUCUCGCAACAAAAUACUUGAACUAAAAAAAAAAAAAACUCAGACCAAAACCCUUUCUUCCCGGACUCUCUUUCGUCUUUUUUUCCUAUAUCUGCAGUUUCUCUAUCGCUACUCUUCUUUUUCAUCUCAGUCUCUCACUCCUUAUUCUUGAUUUCUUCUUGUCAUCCUGUUUUAGAUUUAGAUUUUGUUUCUGAUUCAUGUUAUUAUUGGAAGCGAUGAAGAACAGCUAAAACCCAAAACACAGACUCUUCUCUAAACAUCAUCAUUGGUUGGAGAAGAUCUGGAUCUGGGUGAUAUGGGGUUUACUACCAUCUGUAAAUGAUGUAUCAUCAGUUUUGUGAUGAGCCAAUUGUUGUGGUUGGUACUAACUGGGGUUUUGGUGAUUGUAAUCCAACUAAAGCUGUUGAUGAAUAUGUUAUUAUAAAACCAAAAAUGCAGAGUCCAACCAAGAAGCAGAGAAGGUGGAUCCAAGAUUGAAGGCUAUUGUGGAGAGGAUGCUAAGGAAGUGCAUCUUGGACCAAAAAUUCAGUUGAAUUUGAGAAGAUGACACUGGGGAGUGGUCUGUUGUCUGUUUGAGACAAUUCAGUGAAUUUAUGCUAGAGCAGGCGAGCCGCAAAAACUGCAGUAAAAAGAUAGAUGGUAAAGUUGAAAGGAAAGGUUCUGAAGAUGAAGCAAAUGGCAGAAGGGGAAAUACUUGUGUCAUAUCUAUGACAAGAACAAGCUUAUAAACAUUCAGCUAAAUCAUAACGAUUAUGGGGUCGACAAGUAUGAUAUCAGAAAUAGUUUUGGUCAUUUCGGUAUAGCAGUUGAGAAUUUAACACUUACGAAAGAAGCACUUAGGUUUACUGAAGUGAUGGGAAAAGCUGGUCCUGUCAAAGGUGGCAGUACUGUAAUUGUGUUUAUUGAAGAUCCAGAUGGUUACAGGUUUGACUUUUAGAGAGGGACCUACAUCAGAGCCCCUAUGCCAAGUAAUGCUUCGUUAGGUGAUCCUGACCGCGCCCUAAAUUACUAUGAGAAGUACAACACUUCGGUGGAGGGAUGGUCUACAAUUUGAGUCAUGGGAGGCUCAAAGGCCUGCAUUACAAGCAGCUAUUAAGCUACCAACACGCAAACUUAUUAAUGGUACAUUGCUGCUUUAACCAAAAGCUUGAUAUUGUGAUUUCAGAAGACAUGGACUAUUAGUGGGCGUCCUUAAUUGAAAGAUGCUUGCUAAGAAAUCCAACUCUUUACCUCUAGCCAAGGCCCAAAUGAGUGAAGCUUUCACCUGCGUACACAAAGCACAGGGCAUACGUCUUUCUUCCUUCCAUUCCAUGAGCACGAGGUACGAUUACUGAAAAUCUAAUGUCAAUACAUACACUCCAUUUCAGUUGUAUUAGACCUUCAAAUGUUAAAUAAUCUGAGAUUAUUACCAGAUACAUCAUUCAUUUCGUGACUCAAGUUCAUGGCCUCAUAGCCUUAUCCUUAAACUUUAGUCUUGCAGUACUAGGCGUCCCUGGUAUGGAAGAACUAAAGUUAAUUGGAACAGAGGUAUUCAUACUUGCCCUCUUUUCAUCUGUGCAAUGAAAGAGUUAAUGUAUUUCAGCUUAAUUAGACAGUAUGGGCAGGUAUUCAUGUAUUUGUAUUCCAUUCC